RNAcentral lists this ribosomal RNA (255 nucleotides) under uncultured bacterium. RNAcentral describes it as "partial 16S ribosomal RNA". It matches the Rfam family "Bacterial small subunit ribosomal RNA", at positions 524 to 777 of the family's 1533-position model. The record is from RNAcentral.
UACAGAGGGUGCGAGCGUUUGUCCGGAAUCACUGGGCGUAAAGGGCGCGUAGGUGGCGCGACAAGUCAGUGGUGAAAGUUCGACGCUCAACGUCGAAUCGGCCACUGAUACUGUUGGGCUUGAGCACUGUAGAGGCUAAUGGAAUUCCGGGUGUAGCGGUGGAAUGCGUAGAGAUCCGGAAGAACACCGGUGGCGAAGGCGGUUAGCUGGGCAGUUGCUGACACUGAGGCGCGACAGCGUGGGGAGCAAACAGGG